This 2232-nucleotide long non-coding RNA is filed under the name Ixodes scapularis (black-legged tick). Its description in RNAcentral is "uncharacterized LOC8037263". Lineage: Eukaryota; Metazoa; Arthropoda; Arachnida; Ixodida; Ixodidae. The record is from RNAcentral.
GCCAGACACCUGCUGAGGCGCCGAGCUAGCGUACGAGCAGAUUCGCCGCACGGUCGACCUUGGCUGCCAUGACUGCGGGAGAACACGUGGGCGAUGAACUCAUUGCCGUCGCUGCGUCCUGAUAGCAGCAGCCCUCUCUCGGCGCACGCGUAGAAGCACCGACUCGCUGGCGCGUCACGCGUUUUUUGCCUCGGGGGCACGCAAUACACGUUGGUGACGUCGCGACGUAGGUGCGCUGCCUGUGCUGCCCUGUGUAAGCAGCGGUGAUACUGUUUGAUACCGUCGUAUGCCGGUUGUUUGGCACCUAGUGACGCGCGCUGUUUCGCUGACGGUGGACAACCGCACGGAUUCACCGAACGCCAUCUCUAGACGCAGUCAACGUCUUCGGGGAUUCCAGAUACCGCAUUUGGUUUCGUCGGCAAAGUCGAGGCGCCGCAAAAUUUGAUCGUGGAAGAACUAGACCCAGCGAGCUCGGACCCACGUCGCGAUGAGCUACGGACAACAACAGCCGAACGCCUACUACCCGCCCCAGCCGGGGUUCCAGGCGCCACCGGCGGGCUACUACCCACCGCCGCAGCAGGGCGCUCCCUACUACCCACCGCAGCAGCAACCAGCCUAUGUCACGGCGCAACCUCCACAGACCACCACAGUAGUCGUCCACGAGAAGAAGAAAGACGACGACUGCUGGAAGAACUGCUGUCUCUGCACCCUCUGCAUGGCCCUGUGUUGCUGGUGCUGUAGUGACUGAGUGUCCGAGGAUGGAGUGCCGAGAAAAAAAGAAAGCAACGUCGGAGCUUCCACAGAGAAAAGUUUCUUCGGUGUGCGGCCUAUGCAAUUUCAAGCCGGGGCCGGUGUCCCUCAACGGGCUGGUCCAAAAUUAUGUCCGCGUGCGAGUUAGGAAUGCGUUACUUUGUGUACAUGGGUUGUUGCGUGAUGCCGUCGUGAUUUUUUUUUUUUUUUUAAGAAUGUCGGUUUGGGUGUGAUCUUUUGAGCGUGGUGCGGCGGCAGGGAGCGUUAUUUUUUGUACAAAUCACUAUUGCUCAUGUUUUUGAAAAUGCAUUUCUUCGUUUUUUACGCGUUUAUAUGCCGUUUUACGUUUGGAUGAGGUGCAGUGAGGGCUGUGAUCACAGCGUUCGAGUUGUUGAGUGUUUCCGCUGUGCUCAUCCGGAUGAAGAGUUCCCAGCUCACGCUCGGAGCUUUUGGUAGAUAGUCGUGCUAAAGUGAGUUGUACCGGAAGCGAAAUAUACGCACGAAGUAUGUACAUACAGACUGGUGCUGCUUGUGUAUCGGGGACUAUUGUAUAAGCUACUUUAUUGCUCCGGUGUACCUGUUAUGCAAGAAAUGGUUCGCGUGCACACAUCAUAUAUUCUUUCUAGCUAAGCCCGAACGUAAUUAUGACGAGCUAAUCUGUAAAAAAAAGUUACUUUUGUAAGUUUUGUCAGGAUGUUUCGAGUUGCUUUUAUCUGCCGAUAUUUUUAAGCCUUCUUCAAUAUUUCAAAUAUUGGAAGGCGACCAUGUUAUCGUUAGACAUAUCAACGACGUCCAGUCAUUGCGGUGAGUCCGGUGGCUUGCCCAUGACUUUUUGGUUUGAAGAUGUGUUGUGCUAACCAACUUGUGCCUUUGAUGAACGACAUAUUCUGUUAUGUAUUUUAUACCGGUUGUCAUUACAAGACUUUAGAAUUGUGAGGUGACUUCCACAUGUUCGAGAAAUUUCUAUGUCACCAUAACGUUCAAUGUGAAAGAGCUGCUGCAUUCUAUAGAUAUUCUUUAACACUUGUUCCACAAGAUCGCUUGCACUGCACUCCAUUCGCAAUUUAUAAAGUACGUGGAACAGAGAGUUGUGUAACUGUCUCUUAGCUGAUUUUGUUUUGCGUUGUGGCUUCAAGAUUCUUAGUCACAGGCCAAAAAGAUAGAAAACUUCAUAUAUGAUUUGUCUGAUAAACAUAUAACACGUUAUAUAGAAUAUAUAACGAAUAAGUUCUUAUAUGAUAUCUUCUCGUAUGUUUAUUGGACACGUUCAUUUAUUUGUUUUUACUAAGAUAACGGGGUGCAUUGUGUUAAAUCUUAGGUUUUAAUGAUUUCACUGCCUGCGUUUAAGUAUGAAGCUUUGGUUGUAUUACAGACUGCACAAUAAAACGGCACCAUAUACUAUUUUUUUUAAGUUGAUAGUGCGCGAAUUUUAGUUUGAGAUUUCAAAAUAUACGGACUUUAUAAAGCUUUCACGUCACUGAA